This 404-nucleotide ribosomal RNA is filed under the name uncultured prokaryote. RNAcentral describes it as "bacterial SSU rRNA". It matches the Rfam family "Bacterial small subunit ribosomal RNA", at positions 355 to 774 of the family's 1533-position model. The record is from RNAcentral.
UAAGGAAUAUUCCACAAUGGGGGAAACCCUGAUGGAGCAACGCCGCGUGCAGGAUGAAUGCCCUCGGGUCGUAAACUGCUUUUAUGGGUGAAUAAUAUGAAUGUAACCCUUGAAUAAGCACCGGCUAACUACGUGCCAGCAGCCGCGGUCAUACGUAGGGUGCACGCAUUAUCCGGAGUGACUGGGCGUAAAGAGUUGCGGAGGUGGGUUGUCUAGUGAAUAGUGAAAUCUGGUGGCUCAACCACACAGACUAUUAUUCAAACUGGCAGACUAGAGAGUAGCAGAGGUAACUGGAAUUUCUAGUGUAGGAGUGAAAUCCGUAGAUAUUAGAAGGAACACCGAUGGCAUAGGCAGGUUACUGGGCUAUUUCUGACACUGAGGCACGAAAGCGUGGGGAGCGAACC